This 447-nucleotide ribosomal RNA is filed under the name uncultured bacterium. RNAcentral's name for it is "partial 16S ribosomal RNA". It matches the Rfam family "Bacterial small subunit ribosomal RNA", at positions 29 to 523 of the family's 1533-position model. The record is from RNAcentral.
AACGAACGCUGGCGGCAGGCUUAACACAUGCAAGUCGAGCGCCUCGCAAGAGGAGCGGCAGACGGGUGAGUAACACGUGGGAACAUACCCAUCUCUGCGGAACAACUCCGGGAAACUGGAGCUAAUACCGCAUACGCCCUUAGGGGGAAAGAUUUAUCGGAGAUGGAUUGGCCCGCGUUGGAUUAGCUAGUUGGUGGGGUAAAGGCCUACCAAGGCGACGAUCCAUAGCUGGUCUGAGAGGAUGAUCAGCCACAUUGGGACUGAGACACGGCCCAAACUCCUACGGGAGGCAGCAGUGGGGAAUAUUGGACAAUGGGCGCAAGCCUGAUCCAGCCAUGCCGCGUGAGUGAUGAAGGCCUUAGGGUUGUAAAGCUCUUUCACCGAUGAAGAUAAUGACGGUAGUCGGAGAAGAAGCCCCGGCUAACUUCGUGCCAGCCGCCGCCGUAA